Molecule: long non-coding RNA, 1558 nt
Organism: Triticum dicoccoides
Lineage: Eukaryota; Viridiplantae; Streptophyta; Magnoliopsida; Poales; Poaceae
Exons: 3
Source: RefSeq, a predicted model, not a curated record
UUGUGUACGAGAAGCUUCUGGUCGGCGGGGGUGGCGGUGGAUGUGGAGAUUACUCCGGCGAGGUCUGCUUCCGACGAACCACCAGGUCCAACACAACUGGGCAUGCACCAUCAACCGUGUUCUGAAAUUACCAGCACAAAUGGGGCUAGCAAGCGUCCUGCGUCCCCAAUAGUGGGGUGGGUCUUGCCAGCAAGUUGCAGCAGGGAGUUCAGUGGAGUUGUGGCAAAGUACAAAGCGCAUCACUUGGAGAUGAAGCCACUCAAGCUCCUCCUGCACUGCAUCCUUCCCAUCUAUUUUGUGCUCAUGUUUGCGAACUGCUUCAUCAGAAAAGAAACGCAUCAAUCAUUUCAAGUUACUUGUGCUGGCUCGGUUUGCAAGAGACAGAAAUAAUUUGGCAGGCAUCACUAUUAUGACAAUGAUUCAUGACACUAUCUAUGACGGCGACGCUACGCUGUUGAGUAUUUGGGUAAAAUACCACCCUGCUAAGUAAGCUGUAGCCCAAUGGGUAGGAGACACAUCUGCCUAUGGCAGAGUGUGGCUUAUGUGUCAGCUGGCAGAGAGAGAUUAGUUUGUGUUGAUGCAGUGUGGAUAAGAUGUUAAUCUCUUGAGAUGAUAUGCUAAGUUGCUAACCACUACCAGCCCCUAAUAUUUGGUGAGAUGCUUAUCUUGGUGCGUGCAGGUGCAGGACCCUCCUGAUGAUCAGAAUCGUCCAGGUAAGUAGUAUCCUAACAGCUCAAUCUGUGGCCUCAUAUAAAAGAAGGGGAAAAGGGUAGAGAUGAUAGUCAAUCAUUCCAUGGUGCACACACUCAUGCAUGCACACACUACUCGCUGCACUUUUAUCCUGCCUUUUCUUGCUCUCUAUCUAGCCAUUCUCUUUAGGAACAGUUUUUGUGCAUGCCGUGUCUCUUUAUGGCAGGCCAUGUCCAUGUAAGAUUGGGCAAAGUCCAUGCACCACUUGAGCUAGCUAGCAGAUGAAGUGGUGGCGUGGUGCUGGUGGUGGCAUGGCAGCAGCAGCACACGUAGAGGUGGGGGUAUCUAAUAAUCCCCGGAGAGGGGAGCCCGCGAAUCAUACAAAGGGAGCUUCCAUCUGCCGGUGACGACCUGAUGACGCAGUUGUGCAUCUGCAUUCCAUUCUCUGUGUGACAAAGUAAUAUGCAGGGAACAAGUCGACAGAAUCUUCAACGAUAGUACGAGUGUCUUUGCACUAUCAGUUGCACAUGUUUCAUCUUCGUAUUCUUGCAUUAGGACUUAUAAGAGCAGUUGGUUAGGAGCAGAGUAAUCGUGCCUGAAUUAAAAAGACCCAUGGUUUCUUCUAGAUAGAUAGACAGGUCAAAGACUGUUGUGUGCCUGAAUUAAAGCUACCAACUAUAUCCCCAGAUCAGAUAACAUGAUGAUAAUAACCUAAAUUUGCAUGGAAAAAUGCUACUCUUUGCAUGGGUGCACAUAUGAAUUAAAAAAAAGACGUUUUUCAACUUCUGAAAAAUUGUGAAAAAGUGCAUACGUGCAGAGUAUGGAUAGAAACUUGUCUUUGCAUUUUUUUUGUAAAAACAAAGACCAC